AUUGAACGCUGGCUGCAGGCCUAACACAUGCAAGUCGAACGAGUCGCGGACGGGUGAGUCAUGUCUGGGAAACUGCCUGAUGGAAGGCGCUACCUACUGGAAGCGGUAGUUAAUCCCGCAUCCCCUACGAUGUGCCCAGGUGGGAUUAGCUAGUAGGUUGGGUAAAAGCUCACCUAGGCGACGAUCCCUAGCUGGUCUGAGAGGAUGACCAGCCACACUGGAACUGAGACACGGGCCAGACUCAUACGGUAGGCAGCAGUGGGGAAUAUGGCGCAAUGGGAGUAAGCAUGAUGCAGCCAUGCCGCGUGUAUGAAGAAGGCCUUCGGGUUGUAAAGUACAUUCAGCGGGGAGGCGUUACCCGCAGAAGAAGGACCGGCUAAAACAGUGCCAGCAGCCGCGGUAAUAC
Molecule: ribosomal RNA, 406 nt
Filed under: uncultured bacterium
Lineage: Bacteria
Description: partial 16S ribosomal RNA
Rfam family: Bacterial small subunit ribosomal RNA
Source: RNAcentral